This is a long non-coding RNA of Gallus gallus (chicken), 266 nucleotides long. NCBI's taxonomy places the organism in Eukaryota, Metazoa, Chordata, Aves, Galliformes, Phasianidae. The record is from Ensembl.
CUUGUUUUUUAAAUCCAUCUCUCUCCUCUCCUGCUCCUGGCAGAGUCACCUGAUGCAGGGGGUGGAGGAGCUUGUUGGGUGUUCAGCUCCUGGCCUGCCUCGGAGCUUGGUCUUUGCAAGGACAGCAGGGUAGAAGUGAGUUCUCCUUUUGCUAGGCAUGGUGCCUGGUCCCUUCACACUUGAAAGACCCCCAAAGGUGGUGUCUCAUCCACACGUCCGACCCCUUUGGACCAUCCCAGGGAGCAGCAAGGCACCGCUCUGCUGGC